GGUUAAGCGACUAAGCGUACACGGUGGAUGCCCUGGCAGUCAGAGGCGAUGAAGGACGUGCUAAUCUGCGAUAAGCGUCGGUAAGGUGAUAUGAACCGUUAUAACCGGCGAUUUCCGAAUGGGGAAACCCAGUGUGUUUCGACACACUAUCAUUAACUGAAUCCAUAGGUUAAUGAGGCGAACCGGGGGAACUGAAACAUCUAAGUACCCCGAGGAAAAGAAAUCAACCGAGAUUCCCCCAGUAGCGGCGAGCGAACGGGGAGCAGCCCAGAGCCUGAAUCAGUGUGUGUGUUAGUGGAAGCGUCUGGAAAGGCGCGCGAUACAGGGUGACAGCCCCGUACACAAAAAUGCACAUGCUGUGAGCUCGAUGAGUAGGGCGGGACACGUGGUAUCCUGUCUGAAUAUGGGGGGACCAUCCUCCAAGGCUAAAUACUCCUGACUGACCGAUAGUGAACCAGUACCGUGAGGGAAAGGCGAAAAGAACCCCGGCGAGGGGAGUGAAAAAGAACCUGAAACCGUGUACGUACAAGCAGUGGGAGCACGCUUCGGCGUGUGACUGCGUACCUUUUGUAUAAUGGGUCAGCGACUUAUAUUCUGUAGCAAGGUUAACCGAAUAGGGGAGCCGAAGGGAAACCGAGUCUUAACUGGGCGUUAAGUUGCAGGGUAUAGACCCGAAACCCGGUGAUCUAGCCAUGGGCAGGUUGAAGGUUGGGUAACACUAACUGGAGGACCGAACCGACUAAUGUUGAAAAAUUAGCGGAUGACUUGUGGCUGGGGGUGAAAGGCCAAUCAAACCGGGAGAUAGCUGGUUCUCCCCGAAAGCUAUUUAGGUAGCGCCUCGUGAAUUCAUCUCCGGGGGUAGAGCACUGUUUCGGCAAGGGGGUCAUCCCGACUUACCAACCCGAUGCAAACUGCGAAUACCGGAGAAUGUUAUCACGGGAGACACACGGCGGGUGCUAACGUCCGUCGUGAAGAGGGAAACAACCCAGACCGCCAGCUAAGGUCCCAAAGUCAUGGUUAAGUGGGAAACGAUGUGGGAAGGCCCAGACAGCCAGGAUGUUGGCUUAGAAGCAGCCAUCAUUUAAAGAAAGCGUAAUAGCUCACUGGUCGAGUCGGCCUGCGCGGAAGAUGUAACGGGGCUAAACCAUGCACCGAAGCUGCGGCAGCGAC
Molecule: ribosomal RNA, 1170 nt
Filed under: Escherichia coli
Lineage: Bacteria; Pseudomonadati; Pseudomonadota; Gammaproteobacteria; Enterobacterales; Enterobacteriaceae
Description: partial 23S ribosomal RNA
Rfam family: Bacterial large subunit ribosomal RNA
Source: RNAcentral